UUUAUCUUCGAAUGCUUCUGGACCCUUUUCCCCACCCUCACGCACCAUCAACAAUGGAGAAUCCUACGCAUUCCAUUUUGAAUCCAUAGCAAACUCACUCUGGCAACACCACUACAACCGAUUAACACCACCACAGUUCCUCUCACCUCUUUCUUGUACUUGUCCACGAAGAGCUUCGAGCUAAAUAUUUAGCCGCUCACACAUGUUGUUUUCUCUCUCACUUUGAAGACGCACCAGCCACCGGCACGUAGCGUGUUUCAAUCUACGGCUCGUUUCUGUUCGGGUGUUGAGGUAUGAAAGUCGAUUGAAUGUCCAUUGAGGUCAUGUGUUUAUAGAUUCAUGAACGUGUGAUUAAUGGUACCCCUCAUUCUUUGAUGUAAAUUAAAGAAUACGGAGGGAGAGGAGCAGGCCAAGGGCUCUCCGGCCGGCGACAUCGGUGAUGGCUACGCAAAGAAACAAACAGGACAAUGGGUGCUUGGAUGUGUUAGGAAUAAGAAAGUUUCUUCAAUGAUCUGCGUCAAAUUGGCAAGGUAAGUUACAAUGUGAUGCAUAUAGAGCUUUUUUUUUUCAUCUGGGUGUUCUUUUAUUUUUAUAGCGUUUACGGGUUACUCAGAAGGUUUCCCGUUGGAUGUGGCUUUGUAAUCGGCGUUUUUUUUAUGCUCAAAGGGCCGAAAAAUCAGAUUCUACAUAUGCCAUCGACAGAGGUAAUUGCAUUAAAAUUUUGAAAUUAAAUAGUGGCGAUAUGUUGGGCAGGUCAGGUGGUUCACGAAUUAAAGUCGGUUAUUUUUAGUUUUAAAAAGUGCGCCUCACACCAACAUAGACACCAAACAUUUGAAUAGCGACUUCGAUCUGAGAUCAUCCUGCUGCUGUGUAAUGUGCAAAUAAGGAAAUGUUGUCCACUUUUUGGUGUUUUAGUUGUGUUUUCUUCUUAUGAAAUUUGUAUGAUCACAGAAGGCGCAUUAAUUUAGAGACUACUGGGAGGAUAUUGGAACGUUCAAGUCUUUUCAUAGCGUAAUAGCGCUCUUACAAAUGUGGUACCCAAGUUUCUUUUUUGUGGUCCGACACCAACCAAGAUUGAAAAUUGCAAGGUUUGAUUCUGAUUCAUUUUAACUGGUUCACCCGCUCCAUGAAUUUAGCAUAUCAAAUAUGAAUUUAGCAUGCAUUACAAUUAAUGAUUCAUGCUAGCAUCUUUUUAUAUGCAUAGAAAGUAAAAACUUGGGGUGUCAUCCUAUGUUAGUCAAUAAUAAUUUAGAUGUAGAAUUAGCAUAUUAUUUCUGGAUGACUCGGCUAAUUCAUCAAGUAAGUUGUUUCUAUCUCAUAUUUUCCUACUUUUUAAUGAUCAAACUCUGUUGAUGUACAUGGAAAUUUGCUGGGCUAAACAGGUCGAAAGUCAUACAAAGCGCAUGAUCGACGCAGAAUACUAGAGCUGGGAUAAUGCUAUUCCAUUUGGUUGCCUUUUCUAUGUUAGUUCUAAAUUUAUAUCCUUAAAACUGUAGUGAUAACAACAACAACAACAACAAUAAUAAUAAUAAUAAUAAUAAUAAUAAUAAUAAUAAUAAUAAUAAUAAUAAUAAUAACAACAAUGGGGAUAAUGAGAUCAAGCAAUCUGAGAGCAUUGAAAAGGGUAUCAACAAAGAUGUUUUAAUGGUAGAAAAUGUUGAUAAAAUUGAAGAAACUGAACUAAAGAAAGAAGAUGAUGAUGGGGUAGUAGAAUAGGUUAAGAAGAAUAUUAAAGAAUUAUCAUCAGUUCCAUUGGAAAAAAAGUGAAUAAAGUGCUAAUGAUGGUGCUUCAAAGGAUGAAGAAAAUGCAGCAAAUGAGUAAGAACUUUGAACUCAUAUCAAUCUAAAGGUAUAUGAUUUAAAAAGGUUCAUAUAAUCUCUUUUGCUGUUAAGUUUGUUGAUGAAUCUAAAUUUGCAGAUUUGCCCACUUUUUGUUUGUUUGUA
Molecule: long non-coding RNA, 1944 nt
Organism: Helianthus annuus (common sunflower)
Lineage: Eukaryota; Viridiplantae; Streptophyta; Magnoliopsida; Asterales; Asteraceae
Exons: 5
Source: RefSeq, a predicted model, not a curated record